RNAcentral lists this ribosomal RNA (397 nucleotides) under uncultured bacterium. RNAcentral's name for it is "bacterial SSU rRNA". It matches the Rfam family "Bacterial small subunit ribosomal RNA", at positions 361 to 775 of the family's 1533-position model. The record is from RNAcentral.
AUAUUGCACAAUGGGGGAAACCCUGAUGCAGCAACGCCGCGUGAGUGAAGAAGUAUUUCGGUAUGUAAAGCUCUAUCAGCAGGGAAGAUAAUGACGGUACCUGACUAAGAAGCUCCGGCUAAAUACGUGCCAGCAGCCGCGGUAAUACGUAUGGAGCAAGCGUUAUCCGGAUUUACUGGGUGUAAAGGGUGCGUAGGCGGCACAGCAAGUCAGAUGUGAAAGACCGGGGCUCAACCCCGGGGCUGCAUUUGAAACUGCCGAGCUUGAGUCCGGGAGAGGCAGGCGGAAUUCCUAGUGUAGCGGUGAAAUGCGUAGAUAUUAGGAGGAACACCAGUGGCGAAGGCGGCCUGCUGGACCGGAACUGACGCUGAGGCACGAAAGCGUGGGGAGCAAACAG